AUUAGUAGAGGCUGCGCUUAUUAUUAGUAAGUCAAAUGAUGCUCCAAAGCAAGUGAUUUUGACCCAAAGGAAUCGGCGCCGAAGGGAACUGUGGAAAGGUUGCCCUGGGCAUAUGACUAAUAAUCAUAUGACUGUCAUCUGAGGAUGGAGAGCUACUUAU
This 160-nucleotide non-coding RNA is filed under the name uncultured Eubacterium sp. RNAcentral's name for it is "Lysine riboswitch". It matches the Rfam family "Lysine riboswitch aptamer". Rfam says of the family: Riboswitches are metabolite binding domains within certain messenger RNAs that serve as precision sensors for their corresponding targets. Allosteric rearrangement of mRNA structure is mediated by ligand binding, and this results in modulation of gene expression. This family includes riboswitches that sense lysine in a number of genes involved in lysine metabolism, including lysC. The record is from RNAcentral. Lineage: Bacteria; Bacillati; Bacillota; Clostridia; Eubacteriales; Eubacteriaceae.